Syzygium oleosum is the source of this 520-nucleotide long non-coding RNA. RefSeq lists it as uncharacterized. NCBI's taxonomy places the organism in Eukaryota, Viridiplantae, Streptophyta, Magnoliopsida, Myrtales, Myrtaceae. The record is from RefSeq and is a predicted model, not a curated record. The transcript has 5 exons.
AAUACAUCAUCUUUCCCACUGCCGCAUAAGCAGUGUUCGUUUUUCGAGAGGCAUUGAUUGAUUCCGUAGUUUCGCAAGGCCAAGGCUGUCCGGGGAAAGCUUUAGUUUACUAUUGGCUACGCCGACAUGCCCUGCCACUGACGUUGGUGAUGAACGUGGUGAUGCUGAUGAUUGGAAAGGAGAAUUUUUCCCGAGCAUUCCUAACACUAAGUAUGAGGGUCAUUCAUGCAAGAAGAACCCACUAGCAUAUAAGUGGGAAUAAUGCCGAAGAGGAGAUACUAGGCAAGAAAAUGAAGGAUUGGCUAAGAUUCAGCUUCGCCUUUUGGCACACGUUCAGGGGAACAGGAGGUGACCCGUUUGGUGCUGCCACAAAGUUUUGGCCCCGGGAGGAUGGCACGAAUGCUUUGGCUAUGGCCAAAAGGAGAAUGAGGGCCAACUUUCAGUUCUUGAAGAAACUUGGAGUUGAUUGAUGGUGCUUCCAUGACAAGGAUACAGCUCCUGAUGGCAAGACAUUGCAGGU